CCCCAUUCCGAGGGGUGCCUGGCAGACGUCCGGGCUGAGAGAGUCCCUUUGAACCUGAUCCGGGUCAUGCCGGCGAAGGGACAGGACAAGUCGAUGCA
RNAcentral lists this non-coding RNA (98 nucleotides) under Pseudolabrys sp. Root1462. RNAcentral describes it as "TPP riboswitch aptamer (THI element)". It matches the Rfam family "TPP riboswitch aptamer (THI element)". From Rfam's summary of the family: Vitamin B(1) in its active form thiamin pyrophosphate (TPP) is an essential coenzyme that is synthesised by coupling of pyrimidine and thiazole moieties in bacteria. The previously detected thiamin-regulatory element, thi box was extended, resulting in a new, highly conserved RNA secondary structure, the THI element, which is widely distributed in eubacteria and also occurs in some archaea. The record is from Rfam by way of RNAcentral. Lineage: Bacteria; Pseudomonadati; Pseudomonadota; Alphaproteobacteria; Hyphomicrobiales; Xanthobacteraceae. RNAcentral also lists the same sequence under 1 other name.